UGGCGCCCAACGUGAGAGCUCAAGUCAAGGAAUACAGUGAGGGACGCCGUCAGGACCAGAGGGCACAGGAGAACUAAGAAACCCGGAGGAAAGAGCGUCGUGGGAGCCUGCCACGGACUCCCGCUCCGGUAAGCGGACGGCGAAUAUGGGACAGGAAAUCAGCCAGCAUGAGUUGUUUAUAGAGAGUUUAAGUAAGGCUUUAAAAGCGCGAGGAGUAAAGAUGAAAAUAAAACAAUUGUGUAAGUAUUUCGAUUAUAUUCAAGAUGUCUGCCCUU
Molecule: non-coding RNA, 275 nt
Organism: Callithrix jacchus (white-tufted-ear marmoset)
Lineage: Eukaryota; Metazoa; Chordata; Mammalia; Primates; Cebidae
Source: Rfam